This 338-nucleotide ribosomal RNA is filed under the name uncultured soil bacterium. RNAcentral describes it as "bacterial SSU rRNA". It matches the Rfam family "Bacterial small subunit ribosomal RNA", at positions 26 to 367 of the family's 1533-position model. The record is from RNAcentral.
AGAUUGAACGCUGGCGGCAGGCCUAACACAUGCAAGUCGAGCGGUAGAGAGGUGCUUGCACCUCUUGAGAGCGGCGGACGGGUGAGUAAUGCCUAGGAAUCUGCCUAGUGGUGGGGGAUAACGUUCGGAAACGGACGCUAAUACCGCAUACGUCCUACGGGAGAAAGCGGGGACCUUCGGGCCUCGCGCCAUUAGAUGAGCCUAGGUCGGAUUAGCUAGUUGGUGAGGUAAUGGCUCACCAAGGCGACGAUCCGUAACUGGUCUGAGAGGAUGAUCAGUCACACUGGAACUGAGACACGGUCCAGACUCCUACGGGAGCAGCAGUGGGGGAAUAUUGG